Molecule: ribosomal RNA, 474 nt
Filed under: uncultured bacterium
Lineage: Bacteria
Description: bacterial SSU rRNA
Rfam family: Bacterial small subunit ribosomal RNA
Source: RNAcentral
ACUCCUACGGGAGGCAGCAGUGGGGAAUAUUGCACAAUGGGCGCAAGCCUGAUGCAGCCAUGCCGCGUGUAUGAAGAAGGCCUUCGGGUUGUAAAGUACUUUCAGCAGUGAGGAAGGCGGGUACGUUAAUAGCGUGCUCGUUUGACGUUAGCUGCAGAAGAAGCACCGGCUAACUCCGUGCCAGCAGCCGCGGUAAUACGGAGGAUCCAAGCGUUAUCCGGAAUCAUUGGGUUUAAAGGGUCCGUAGGCGGUUUUAUAAGUCAGUGGUGAAAUCCGGCAGCUCAACUGUCGAACUGCCAUUGAUACUGUAGAACUUGAAUUAUUGUGAAGUAACUAGAAUAUGUAGUGUAGCGGUGAAAUGCUUAGAGAUUACAUGGAAUACCAAUUGCGAAGGCAGGUUACUAACAAUAUAUUGACGCUGAUGGACGAAAGCGUGGGUAGCGAACAGGAUUAGAUACCCUGGUAGGAUAGCGU